GGAGGGGUGCCGGAGCGGCCGAACGGGACGGUCUUGAAAAUCGUUGAGGCGCAAGCCUCCGUGGGUUCGAAUCCCACUCCCUCCG
This 85-nucleotide transfer RNA is filed under the name Acidimicrobiia bacterium. RNAcentral's name for it is "tRNA-Ser". It matches the Rfam family "tRNA". From Rfam's summary of the family: Transfer RNA (tRNA) molecules are approximately 80 nucleotides in length. Their secondary structure includes four short double-helical elements and three loops (D, anti-codon, and T loops). RNAcentral also lists the same sequence under 1 other name. The record is from RNAcentral. Lineage: Bacteria; Bacillati; Actinomycetota; Acidimicrobiia.